This 320-nucleotide long non-coding RNA is filed under the name Rattus norvegicus (Norway rat). RNAcentral's name for it is "long non-coding RNA NONRATT005520". The record is from RNAcentral. Lineage: Eukaryota; Metazoa; Chordata; Mammalia; Rodentia; Muridae.
CAGGGGUCGCAAGGUUAGUCCCGCGCCAAGCGCCUUGUCCUUUCCCACGCCUGAGGGGAAGGCCCCAGGCGCGCGGGAGUGGCAGGCUCGCGGUGACGCUCCAGGCCGAGUACGCGAUGGCUGCCGCGGCGGGUCAGGCCCGAGGCAGCGCUGCUGGGGCGGGUGUGAGUGUGAGGGACAACUUGAAAAGAACUGGCGCGGCACCCGCGACCCAGGAAGCGAGGCCGAGGUAAGAGACGCGCUCCGCCCGGGGAGGGAGUCGUCUCCCCAACCCUCCGGAAGGAGGAGGAGCCCGAGUCGGAGCCGCCUCAGCGCGGCCG